Molecule: ribosomal RNA, 207 nt
Filed under: uncultured bacterium
Lineage: Bacteria
Description: partial 16S ribosomal RNA
Rfam family: Bacterial small subunit ribosomal RNA
Source: RNAcentral
GUGUAGGUGGCUUUGUAAGUCAGGAGUGAAAGCCCUGGGCUCAAACCCAGGAAGUGCUUUUGAUACUGCGAAGCUUGAGUGUGGGAGAGGAUCGUGGAAUUCCAGGUGUAGUGGUGAAAUACGUAGAUAUCUGGAGGAACACCGGUGGCGAAGGCGGCGAUCUGGCCCAACACUGACACUCAAGACCCGAAAGUGCGGGAUCAAACA